GAGGUAAGUGUGGGCCAGCAGGGGCGGUAAGACGGAGGGGGCAAGGGGUGUCCGGAUUUAUGGGGCGUAAAGAGCGAGUAGGCGGCCGGACAGGUCAGCUGUGAAAACUCGAGUCUCAACCUCGAGACGUCGGGUGAAACCGUCUGGCUAGAGGCCGGAAGAGGAGAGUGGAAUUCCCGGUGUAGCGGUGAAAUGCGCAGAUAUCGGGAAGAACACCCGUGGCGAAGGCGGCGCUCUGGGACGGUACUGACGCUGAGACGCGAAAGCGUGGGGAGCGAACAGGAUUAGAUACCCGUAGUC
RNAcentral lists this ribosomal RNA (300 nucleotides) under uncultured Lactobacillus sp. Its description in RNAcentral is "bacterial SSU rRNA". It matches the Rfam family "Bacterial small subunit ribosomal RNA", at positions 494 to 795 of the family's 1533-position model. The record is from RNAcentral. Lineage: Bacteria; Bacillati; Bacillota; Bacilli; Lactobacillales; Lactobacillaceae.